RNAcentral lists this ribosomal RNA (253 nucleotides) under uncultured bacterium. Its description in RNAcentral is "partial 16S ribosomal RNA". It matches the Rfam family "Bacterial small subunit ribosomal RNA", at positions 524 to 776 of the family's 1533-position model. The record is from RNAcentral.
UACAGAGAUCCCAAGCGUUGUUCGGAAUUACUGGGCGUAAAGCGUGCGUAGGCGGCGGGGUAAGUCGGGUGUGAAAUCUCAGGGCUCAACCCUGAAAUUGCAUUCGAUACUACUCUGCUUGAGCUCUGAAGAGGAGGUUGGAAUUUACGGUGUAGCAGUGAAAUGCGUAGAUAUCGUAAGGAAGGCCGGUGGCGAAAGCGAACCUCUGGGCAGCAGCUGACGCUGUGGCACGAAGGCUAGGGGAGCAAACGGG